UUUGCCGUCCCAUUUGCAGACAGAAUAGCUGCAUAGUCACCAUUAGGUGUGAACGCCGUAAGAACAGGUUCCUUUAACUUACCCUUCACCAUCUCAGUUAACCUUCAAACAACAAAGAGGUACCAAAAUCACCUAAAUCGGAUAUUAGACUUUGUCAGUACUAUGUAAAGAUAAUCACUUUUUAGUUAUCAAUCCAAACCAAGAGCCCAAUUGGGUCACUCAAUCAUAAAAUAACAAUAGCAAAUCACUUAAAAGUUCAACUAUUACAAAUUUACAACAAAUUGAUAAAAACCAAUAUAAUAGACCACAGAACUAUAAAAGUUCAAAGAUUUCAACUCAACAUUCCUUGCCAACCACCAUAUAAAAAAGAAAAUGGGAUCCACAUAAAAUAAAGAGUAAAGCUUAUGGUAAUUUAUCAACUUUAACAGCACAUAGAUUACAUAACAAAAAAGGCUCUGUCUAUUUGACAUGGCAAAACUAAAUAACAACACAAAAUGUACACGAGUUCAAAUAUUUUAACAAACUACAUAAAAAUCUCUUUGUUCAGUUAACUACAAAUAUAGAGAUACCAAUAAAAGAUACGCAAAAAGGAAAUCUUCGACGACUUUCACACUGUUUCAGACACAGAAGAAGUCCAGUUGCAUUUUCCGGGCAGUAGAAAUUUUCAACGGUGAAACUCUAAUCCAAGUUGUUUUUGAUAUACAAUACAACAAGGGCAAAGCUUGCUUUGAUUUCGUGGAGCUGCUCAGUUUUGUUGUUUUAGGGUUUCUAUUGUUAAGGGUUUGAGGAUUUUGAUUGUUAAAAAAUGUGUUUAGUUCAACGACUUAAAAACCGGACCUAAGAUCCAAUUCAGAAGUCUCCAGCUCAUGGUUUAGGGCCUGUUUGGAUUGAGCUUACGAAAAAGAGCAUAUGCAAAUAAUUAAGCUUUUAUGUUAAUUCAUAAGAUCUUACUAAUGAAAAUUGUAUAUUCAUAAGUUGUCUUUUCAUUAACUACCUUAACAAACUUAUAAAUAAUACACUAAUACUUAUUUAUGUGCAUAAGCUGCUUUGCAUAAGCUCUAAAAUAAGCCAAUCCAAACAGACCCACGGAUAUGAAAUAAAUAAAAUAAGAAGUAGAGUGCUCAACACCAAGCACCGUUCAACAUUUUCCACAUAUAAUAUUCACAGUCAUAAGCAUCAUUAAAGGCCCUAUUUGGAUAAACAACUUAUUUCCAGCUUAUAACACAAUGAUAAGCUAUUUAUAUAGCAAAAGAUAAAAUAAAGUUAAACUUUUUUGUUGUUUUCAUUAACUAUCCCGGAGAACUUAUGAAAAUAAGCUGAAAAACAGCUUAUGAACAAUGUUGCAAGCUGUUUUCGUAAGUUCUCCCAUAAGCUGAAAUAAGUCAAUCCAAGCAAAUGAGAAACACUUAAUUCAACACUUGAGCACUCACAAACUAGAAGAAAUCAGAAGUGAAAUGAAACUUAAAAAAAAAAACAAAAUCAAAAUUUGAUUAUUUCAAUUGAGGAAUGAAACUUAAUUAACACAUAAACCCUAAACCAGCACGAAAAUGAGCCUAAAGGUUUGGAACAGAGGUUGAAUGGAGGAGUAACAAGGAAGAAAGGGAAAACAAACCUGAAGGUGUAAACUGUGAAGGUGUAAACUGUGUGUGCGGCGGACCGGACAGGGAGUGGCGGCGGGAGAAGAGAAGUGAAGAGUCUCUGUUUUGUUAGAAAAGAAAGAAAACAAACUCGAAGGAGACGAGAGAUACAAGAAUUAGGGGUUUAGGG
This 1767-nucleotide long non-coding RNA is filed under the name Medicago truncatula (barrel medic). RNAcentral describes it as "long non-coding RNA (MTRU_LNC001408)". Lineage: Eukaryota; Viridiplantae; Streptophyta; Magnoliopsida; Fabales; Fabaceae. The record is from RNAcentral.